GGGCGCGUAGCUCAGUGGGAGAGCACUCGCCUUACAAGCGAGGGGUCGCAGGUUCGAAACCUGCCGCGCCCACCA
This 75-nucleotide transfer RNA is filed under the name Actinoplanes sp. RNAcentral's name for it is "tRNA-Val". It matches the Rfam family "tRNA". From Rfam's summary of the family: Transfer RNA (tRNA) molecules are approximately 80 nucleotides in length. Their secondary structure includes four short double-helical elements and three loops (D, anti-codon, and T loops). RNAcentral also lists the same sequence under 208 other names. Lineage: Bacteria; Bacillati; Actinomycetota; Actinomycetes; Micromonosporales; Micromonosporaceae. The record is from RNAcentral.